This 433-nucleotide ribosomal RNA is filed under the name uncultured bacterium. RNAcentral describes it as "bacterial SSU rRNA". It matches the Rfam family "Bacterial small subunit ribosomal RNA", at positions 355 to 786 of the family's 1533-position model. The record is from RNAcentral.
UGAGGAAUAUUGGUCAAUGGGCGAGAGCCUGAACCAGCCAAGUCGCGUGAGGGAAUAAGGCCUACGGGUCGUAAACCUCUUUUGCCGGGGAGCAAGUCGGGGCUCGUGAGCCCUGAUGGAGAGUACCCGGAGAAAAAGCAUCGGCUAACUCCGUGCCAGCAGCCGCGGUAAUACGGAGGAUGCGAGCGUUAUCCGGAUUUAUUGGGUUUAAAGGGUGCGUAGGCGGGCUGGCAAGUCGGCGGUCAAAUGUCGGGGCUCAACCCCGGCCUGCCGUCGAAACUGCAGGCCUUGAGUGAGCGAGAAGCAGGCGGAAUGCGUGGUGUAGCGGUGAAAUGCAUAGAUAUCACGCAGAACCCCGAUUGCGAAGGCAGCCUGCCGGCGCUCAACUGACGCUGAGGCACGAAAGUGCGGGGAUCGAACAGGAUUAGAUACC